This 262-nucleotide ribosomal RNA is filed under the name uncultured bacterium. RNAcentral's name for it is "partial 16S ribosomal RNA". It matches the Rfam family "Bacterial small subunit ribosomal RNA", at positions 513 to 773 of the family's 1533-position model. The record is from RNAcentral.
GGCCGCGGUAAUACGAAGGGUGCAAGCGUUACUCGGAAUUACUGGGCGUAAAGAGUUGCGUAGGUGGCAUAGUAAGUAGGUAGUGAAAGCGUGUGGCUCAACCAUACUCACAUUAUCUAAACUACUAAGCUAGAAUAUAGAAGAGGUAGCUGGAAUUCCCUGUGUAGGAGUGAAAUCCGUAGAUAUAGGGAGGAACACCAAUGGCGUAGGCAGGCUACUGGUCUAUUAUUGACACUAAGGCACGAAAGCGUGGGGAGCGAAC